AGAGUUUGAUCAUGGCUCAGAUUGAACGCUGGCGGCAUGCCUUACACAUGCAAGUCGAACGGUAACAGGUUAAGCUGACGAGUGGCGAACGGGUGAGUAAUAUAUCGGAACGUGCCCGGUCGUGGGGGAUAACGUAGCGAAAGCUACGCUAAUACCGCAUACGAUCUAUGGAUGAAAGCGGGGGAUCGCAAGACCUCGCGCGAUUGGAGCGGCCGAUAUCAGAUUAGCUAGUUGGUGGGGUAAAAGCUCACCAAGGCGACGAUCUGUAGCUGGUCUGAGAGGACGACCAGCCACACUGGAACUGAGACACGGUCCAGACUCCUACGGGAGGCAGCAGUGGGGAAUUUUGGACAAUGGGCGCAAGCCUGAUCCAGCAAUGCCGCGUGCAGGAUGAAGGCCUUCGGGUUGUAAACUGCUUUUGUACGGAACGAAACGGCGAGCUCUAAUACAGUUUGCUAAUGACGGUACCGUAAGAAUAAGCACCGGCUAACUACGUGCCAGCAGCCGCGGUAAUACGUAGGGUGCGAGCGUUAAUCGGAAUUACUGGGCGUAAAGCGUGCGCAGGCGGUUAUAUAAGACAGAUGUGAAAUCCCCGGGCUCAACCUGGGACCUGCAUUUGUGACUGUAUAGCUAGAGUACGGUAGAGGGGGAUGGAAUUCCGCGUGUAGCAGUGAAAUGCGUA
Molecule: ribosomal RNA, 682 nt
Filed under: uncultured bacterium
Lineage: Bacteria
Description: bacterial SSU rRNA
Rfam family: Bacterial small subunit ribosomal RNA
Source: RNAcentral